GUGGCUCCGCACUGGAGUUGGGGAGGCAAGUCCUCCAGCCUCGGGCUUUUAAUAUUCACAUCACGUCCUCUUUGCAGCUACUUUGGGAGGAUUGAAAGCUACAAAGGACGUUUGGGUGACCUCCCCACAACACAAGGUGGGGUGGGGGGUUUCAACCCACACUGCCCCAUCUUGAAUCGCCAUGGAUGACCAAGUAGUUGAAACACGACGGGGGACUUAGGUGCCAGUCCUUCUAGGCAGAAGGGCCCUCUUGGAGCUUCUUGGAUAGCAGUGGCUUCAAUCAAGUCUGAAUUCACCGGCAUCUUUGGGCCCCGGACAUUGGGCAAUACGGUAACUUUCCAGAAGAUGAACUGAGCCAGAAAUAAUUCCACCCCCUACUAUAUACCUCCAGCUCCUACAACAGAAUCUCUGCUUAGCUUGGUACCAUUUCCUCUGAGACUCGACUUUCUAGAGCUUUCCUCAUCGAAAGCAGGGCUCAAAAAUAAAUUUAAGGAUGGGAGAACAUACCAACUUUCAUACAACACCAAGUUUAGAGUCUUUUAACUUGAGUUCCGGGAGCUGCCACUGGCUCAUCAAAACAGGGUACCGGCCAGGUACAGUGGCUUACACCUGUAAUCCUAGCACUUUGGGAGGCCGAGGCAGGCUGACUGCCUGAGCUCAGGAGUUCGAGACCAGCUUGGGUAACGCCGUGAAAAACCGUCUCUACUAAAAUACCAAAGAAA
Molecule: long non-coding RNA, 722 nt
Filed under: Homo sapiens (human)
Lineage: Eukaryota; Metazoa; Chordata; Mammalia; Primates; Hominidae
Description: novel transcript
Source: RNAcentral